CCUACGGGUGACUGCAGUGAGGAAUAUUGGUCAAUGGCCGCAAGGCUGAACCAGCCAUGCCGCGUGAAGGUCAGUGCCCUAUGGGCGUUAAACUUCUUUUGUGCGGGAGCAAUAAUGGUCACGUUUGGCCAGACGAGAGUACCGUACGAAUAAGCCUCGGCUAACUCCGUGCCAGCAGCCGCGGUAAUACGGGGGAUGCAAGCGUUAUCCGGAUUUAUUGGGUUUAAGGGGAGCGUAGAUGGGUUGUGAAGUCAGUUGUGAAAGUUUGCGGCUCAACCGUAAAAUUGCAAUUGAUACGGGCAGUCUUGAGUACAGUUGAGGUAGGCGGAAUUCGUGGUGUAGCGGUGAAAUGCUUAGAUAUCACGAAGAACCCCGAUUGCGAAGGCAGCUGACUAAACUGUGACUGACAUUGAUGCGCGAAAGUGUGGGUAUCAAACAGGAUUAGAUACCCCUGUAGUC
This 459-nucleotide ribosomal RNA is filed under the name uncultured bacterium. Its description in RNAcentral is "partial 16S ribosomal RNA". It matches the Rfam family "Bacterial small subunit ribosomal RNA", at positions 338 to 795 of the family's 1533-position model. The record is from RNAcentral.